This is a long non-coding RNA of Sphaeramia orbicularis (orbiculate cardinalfish), 184 nucleotides long. RefSeq lists it as uncharacterized. The transcript is spliced from 2 exons. The record is from RefSeq and is a predicted model, not a curated record. Lineage: Eukaryota; Metazoa; Chordata; Actinopteri; Kurtiformes; Apogonidae.
UUUUGCCUAAUUCAAGCAAAAAAAUCUGCCAAUGGAACAAGUGAAAAUUAUCUUGUAAGAUUUCUUGAAAUAAGACUUUCAAGAGCUAUUGACUAGAAAUAAGUUCUUUACAUCUCAUUGAAAAGUUACUCUUUAGGUGAUUAUGUCUUAUUUUAAGUGUGAUGAGAUAUUUUGACUAGAAAUG